AAAAAACACUAGUAUUUAUAAAUCCUUCCCCUGUCCCCUUGAUCCCACUUUUACAGGGAUGGUGUAUGUAAGAGUUAGCAAGAUGUUCCCUAUUCAAGUUCCAAAGGUAAAGGCUCUUUUGCCCCAGGACAGAAGCGAGAGAAUCCGAAGAGCAUCCUGGGGGUACUGACUAGAAAACAGCUAGUUUAGCCAGUGGAAUGGGAUAGGGAAGAAGAGAAUAGAAAUACUAUUAGACUUGUUCUUGUAGAAGCAAAAUCCUCACUGUUCUUCAUAACAUAGGAAUUAUGUAUUUUUCUAGCCUAUAAUUCUCAAACAUAAAUUUGAUGUGUUACUUUCACUAAGAACCGGCUUAUUUCCUGGUGAUCGUCAGCUAUAUUUACAUACACAUGAGCAGAAUUAGAAAAAUAUAAAAUAAUUUGAGACUCAAGUAAAAAUAAGAUAGCCCAUUUUCUCUUAUUUUUUCUAUAGACAAUAUAUACUAUUGUCAUUUUCUUUUUAUUGCCUUAAAUUCAGCUAUAACAGGCCAAUAGAUCAAUAAAUGUCAUUUUCUUAUUUGACU
This 559-nucleotide long non-coding RNA is filed under the name Pan troglodytes (chimpanzee). RNAcentral's name for it is "long non-coding RNA NONPTRT001486". Lineage: Eukaryota; Metazoa; Chordata; Mammalia; Primates; Hominidae. The record is from RNAcentral.